GAUGAACGCUGGCGGCGUGCCUAAUACAUGCAAGUCGAGCGAACAGACGAGGAGCUUGCUCCUCUGACGUUAGCGGCGGACGGGUGAGUAACACGUGGAUAACCUACCUAUAAGACUGGGAUAACUUCGGGAAACCGGAGCUAAUACCGGAUAAUAUAUUGAACCGCAUGGUUCAAUAGUGAAAGACGGUUUUGCUGUCACUUAUAGAUGGAUCCGCGCCGCAUUAGCUAGUUGGUAAGGUAACGGCUUACCACGGCGACGAUGCGUAGCCGACCUGAGAGGGUGAUCGGCCACACUGGAACUGAGACACGGUCCAGACUCCUACGGGAGGCAGCAGUAGGGAAUCUUACGCAAUGGGCGAAAGCCUGACGGAGCAACGCCGCGUGAGUGAUGAAGGUCUUCGGAUCGUAAAGCUCUGUUAUUAGGGAAGAACAAAUGUGUAAGUAACUAUGCACGUCUUGACGGUACCUAGUCAGAAAGCCACGGCUAACUACGUG
Molecule: ribosomal RNA, 497 nt
Filed under: uncultured bacterium
Lineage: Bacteria
Description: partial 16S ribosomal RNA
Rfam family: Bacterial small subunit ribosomal RNA
Source: RNAcentral